Molecule: ribosomal RNA, 252 nt
Filed under: uncultured bacterium
Lineage: Bacteria
Description: partial 16S ribosomal RNA
Rfam family: Bacterial small subunit ribosomal RNA
Source: RNAcentral
UACGUAGGUCCCGAGCGUUGUCCGGAUUUAUUGGGCGUAAAGCGAGCGCAGGUGGUUUAUUAAGUCUGGUGUAAAAGGCAGUGGCUCAACCAUUGUAUGCAUUGGAAACUGGUAGACUUGAGUGCAGGAGAGGAGAGUGGAAUUCCCGGUGUAGCGGUGAAAUGCGUAGAGAUCGGGAGGAACACCAGUGGCGAAGGCGGCCUACUGGGCUCUAACUGACGCUGAGGCACGAAAGCGUGGGUAGCAAACAGG